UACAGAGGUCCCAAGCGUUGUUCGGAUUCAUUGGGCGUAAAGGGUGCGUAGGUGGCGCCGUAAGUCAGGUGUGAAAUCUCGGGGCUUAACUCCGAAACUGCAUUUGAUACUGCGGUGCUUGAGGACUGGAGAGGAGACUGGAAUUUACGGUGUAGCGGUGAAAUGCGUAGAUAUCGUAAGGAAGACCAGUGGCGAAGGCGGGUCACUGGACAGUAACUGACACUGAGGCACGAAGGCCAGGGGAGCAAAAGGG
RNAcentral lists this ribosomal RNA (253 nucleotides) under uncultured bacterium. RNAcentral's name for it is "partial 16S ribosomal RNA". It matches the Rfam family "Bacterial small subunit ribosomal RNA", at positions 524 to 776 of the family's 1533-position model. The record is from RNAcentral.